CCUACGGGCGGCAGCAGUGGGGAAUAUUGCACAAUGGGGGAAACCCUGAUGCAGCAACGCCGCGUGAGUGAAGAAGUAAUUCGUUAUGUAAAGCUCUAUCAGCAGGGAAGAAAAUGACGGUACCUGAGUAAGAAGCCCCGGCUAACUACGUGCCAGCAGCCGCGGUAAUACGUAGGGGGCAAGCGUUAUCCGGAUUUACUGGGUGGAAAGGGAGCGUAGACGGCAGUGCAAGUCUGGAGUGAAAGGCGGGGGCUCAACCCCCGGACUGCUCUGGAAACUGUACGGCUGGAGUGCAGGAGAGGUAAGUGGAAUUCCUAGUGUAGCGGUGAAAUGCGUAGAUAUUAGGAGGAACACCAGUGGCGAAGGCGGCUUACUGGACAGUAACUGACGUCGAGGCUCGAAAGCGUGGGGAGCAAACAGGAUUAGAUACCCCAGUAGUC
Molecule: ribosomal RNA, 440 nt
Filed under: uncultured bacterium
Lineage: Bacteria
Description: partial 16S ribosomal RNA
Rfam family: Bacterial small subunit ribosomal RNA
Source: RNAcentral